AUCAGAUCAGAUCUACAGUCAUUUCUCUCCACUUUCUACUUUUGGAUGAUUGAAUGAUUCAUAGCAGAUCUUGCAGCGUGAUAGGGUCAAAUCAAGGUCACUAUCAGCAGACUUCCUGUAGACUGCCUGAACUGCUGUUAGUCUCCUCUAAAGGUUUCAAUGUACUGUCUGGUUGUAGAGAAGGAGAGAGAAAGAAACAGAGGAAUUACGGAGAAGAGUCUGAGGGGAGGGAGGGAGCAGAGGUGAAACUCACCGUCCCUCACCUAAACUCAAGUCGCACUGCAUUAGUCUCAUGCACCAAUUAUUGUUGGAAGGAAGGAGAAGGAGGAAGGAGAGGGAGAUCGAAACACACAGACAGAGACAGAGACAGAAGAAGUCACACCAGCUUUCGCUUUGGCUCCCCCUUCUGUCCAGCUCAGGCAUUGAGCGUCGCCGGCAUUCUAGCUGCUGCCGAACCUACUGCUGCAAUCGCCCUUAGAAUAAGAGACAGAGAUCGAUAGAAGAAAUAAGAACUUCAAGAGGAGAGAUGGAGAAAGGAGGAAGUGAGAAGAAGAGAGGACCAGAGAACAGUUCGAAAUUGAGCGACACAAAGGAAGAGAAAAGAAAAGCAGAAACUGACAGAGGAAGAAGAGGAGGAGGAAAGAGAAAGAGAGGAGGUACAGCUAGAGAGGGACAGAGAGGUCUCUCUUUGUCACUUUCUGAGGGAGAUGAAGUCAAACAGAAGACAGUAAGCAUGGAGAAUGAUGGAAUUAAAAUAGAAGAUUUACAAGCAGAGGCAUAGGAACGGCUCAAUAUGCAUGAAGAGAAGAGGCUAGAAAUAUUGAAGGGGGAAAGAGAACGGAUAGAAGAAGAACAACAAAUCAGGAGGAAGAAGCAGGAAAGACUGUUAUCGAUGGACAGACAGCUGGAGAGGGUACAACAACAAGAGGAGCAGGAUAAAAAACUACAGAUCGAAGAGGGUACGACAACAAGAAGACCAGGAUAAAAAAACAACAGAUCAAAAUUGCAAAACAUAAAGAAACUGACAGACUUAGAGAGGCGAAGCAGGAAGAGAGAGAGGAGGAGAGAAAGAGAGCCAUUGAAGGCCACAUAGCUUUAAUCAGAGGAAGAGAGAAGAUGACAGAGGCAAAAAAGAGGCAGGAGAUGGCAGAAGAGGAAAGAAGGGAUGAGAAGUACAAGAGGGGUGAGUUAGAGAAGCCUGAAGAGGAGGAGAAGAACCCUGAAGAGAAGGAGGACGACAAGGAGGACCUCUCCCCAGCCAAUAAAAGUAUCAGAAGGAAAGCACUGGGUGAAUAGGAAGUGGGAGAAGAGGAACCUCAAAAAGGACAGAGAGAAUGUAUCAGAGAGAGGAGGAGGGAUAUGAGAUCAUCAACAGAGGUAAGAUCUGUUUUCCUUAUGACAUCAUCAUCUUUAGUCUCCUGUACACGCACAUUAGUUCCACACCUGUCAUCAUGUUGUGUCAUUAUGUCAUAUCAAUGAACCUACCAGGUAAUACCCCAAAUCCGUAAACACGGGCACCCUCAUAGAUAUCAUCCUAACCAACCUGCCCUCUCAGCGAUCACCGCCUCAUUGCUUGCGUCUGUAAUGGGUCUGCGGUCAAACGACCGCAUCACUGUCAAACGCUCCCUAAAACACUUCAGUGAACAGGCCUUUCUAAUCGACCUGGCCUGUGUAUCCUGGAAGGAUAUUGACCUCAUUCCGUCAGUAGAGGAUGCCUGGUUAUUCUUUAAAAGUGCUUUCCUCACCAUCUUAAAUAAGCAUGCCCCAUUCAUAACAUUUAGAACAGUAACAGAUAUAGCCCUUGGUUCACUCCAGACCUGACUGCCCUUGACCAGCACAAAAACAUCCUGUGGCGUACUGCAUUAGCAUCGAAUAGCCCCCGCGAUAUGCAACUUUCAGGGAAGUUAGGAACAAAUACGUAUAUGCAGGUUGUUAGGGAGGCAAAUGCAAGCUUUUUCAAAAAGAAAUUUGCAUCCUGUAGCACAAACUCCAAAAAGUUCUGCGACACUGUAAAGUCCAUGGAGAAUAAGAGCACCUCCUCCCAGCUGCUCACUGCACUGAGGCUAGGCAACACUGUCACCACCAAUAAAUCCGCAAUCACUGAGAAUUUCAAUAAGCAUUUUUCUACGGCUGGCCAUGCUUUCUACCUGGCUACCCCUACCCCGGUCAACAGCCCUGCACCCCCCACAGCAACACUCCCAAGCCUCCCCCAUUUCUCCUUCACCCAAAUCCAGAGAGCUGAUGUUCUGAAAGAGCUGCAAAAUCUGGACCCCUACAAAUCAGCUGGGUUAGACAACCUCUCUUUCUAUAAUUAUCCGCCGAAAUUGUUGCAACCCCUAUUACUAGCCUGUUCAACCUCUCUUUCAUAUCGUCUGAGAUCCCCAAAGAUUGGAAAGCUGCCAGGGUCAUCCCCCUCUUCAAAGGGGGAGACACUCUAGACCCAAACUGCUACAGACCUAUAUCUAUCCUACCCUGUCUUUCUAAGAUCUUUGAAAGCCAAGUUAAAAAACAGAUCACUGACCAUUUCGAAUCCCACCGUACCUUCUCUGCUAUGCAAUCUGGUUUCUGAGCUGGUCAUGGGUGCACCGCAGCCACGCUCAAGGUCCUAAACAAUAUCUUAACCGCCAUCGAUAAGCGACAAUACUGUGCAGCUGUCUUCAUCGACCUGGCCAAGGCUUUCGACUCUGUCAAUCACUACAUUCUUAUCGGCAGACUCAACAGCCUUGGUUUCUCAAAUGACUGCCUCGCCUGGUUCACCAACUACUCAAGACAGAGUUCAGUGUGUCAAAUCGGGGGGCCUGUUGUCUGGACCUCUGGCAGUCUCUAUGGGGGUACCACAGGGUUCAAUCCUCGUGCCGACUCUUUUCUCUUUAUUCAUCAAUGAUGUCGCUCUUGCUGCUGGUGAUUCUCUGAUCCACCUCUACGCAGACGACACCAUUCUGUAUACUUCUGGCUCUUCUUCGGACACUGUGUUAACUAACCUCCAGACAAGCUUCAAUGACAUACAACUCUCCUUCCGUGGUCUCCAACUGCUCUUAAAUGCAAGUAAAACUAAAUGCAUGCUCUUCAACCGAUCGCUGCCCACACCUGCCCACCCUUCCAGCAUCACUACUCUGGACGGUUCUGACUUAUAAUAUGUGGACAACUACAAAUACCUAGGUGUCUGGUUAGACUGUAAACUCUCCUUCCGGACUCACAUUAAGCAUCUCCAAUCCAAAAUUAAAUCUAGAAUGGGCUUCCUGUUUCGCAACAAAGCACCCUUCUUUCAUGCUGUCAAACAUACCCUCGUAAAACUGACUAUCCUACCAAUCCUUGACUUCGGCGAUGUCAUUUACAAAAUAGCCUUCAACCCUCUACUCAGCAAAUUGGAUGUAGUCUAUCACAGUGCCAUCCGUUUUGUCACCAAAACCUCUUAUACUACCCACCACUGCGACCUGUAUGCUCUCGUUGGCUGGCCCUCGCUUCAUAUUCGUUGCCAAACCCAAUGGCUCCAGGUCAUCUAUAAGUCUUUGCUAGGUAAAGCCCUGCCUUAUCUCAGCUCACUGGUCACCAUAGCAGCCCCCACCCGUAGCAUGCGCUCCAGCAUGUACAUUUCACUGGUUAUCCCCAAAGCCAACUCCUCGUUUGGCCGCCUAUCCUUACUAGUGCUUUCAAUUGCAUUAGUCUACUUUAUUCCAAUAUUUUCAACAUUCGGUUGAUCAUAACUAAAAUUAGUUUUCCUAAUCAUGAACUUGCGAUUUUUCUCGGCCCAAUGGCUGUUUCCUUGUCUUUUCCUGCCGCCCGCCUCUGCCGCGUUAUAUCUCAACACCAGAUUAAAUCAAUAUAGCCUACUGUUUUCUAGAAAUCUGCCUUUUUUUAGGGUUCAUGCUCAUUUCAUUUCUGUGAUGUCGGACCUGGGUUCAGCUCACUGGGUUUGGAUUGGACCAGGAUCUAAUUUUCAGAUCUGAUGAGAACUCUAUCAUGUAUUCGGGUCUCGUGUGCAGUCAUGCAGUGUCAAUUAUGCAUGUGCUGUGAAUUUAUGGCGAGUUUGUGUAGCUGCAACCUGGUCUCAGAGCAUUUAGUAUUAUUUUGUACAUAAAUCUGUGACACUUCAUUUAAUUUCAGAAGUUACAUUUCAUACGGCUUUACCACAGUUGUUGGCUAAUGGUUGAUAGCUACUGUACUGUAGUUAGAUCAAUAACCCUGGACCCAUGUCAACUCCAACUCGUUGCUUUGAGGCGUGGAAAGAAGGCCACAACAACCUUCUCUCUUUGGUCAGUUUAUUAAUAAUACAAUACACUUAGACCGACUAGCUCCAACAUGAGAACUAGCUUGGUUCCAUGCUGGGGUAAUAUCUACAGUCAAAAUCUUAUGCUUAAACCAGAACGCAACAAAUAUAAAUGAACAACUCUCAUGUGAUUGGCUGGUAAGCCAUCACUCAUAUAAUAAAUACGUAGGUGGAAUCUCUACUUACAACAGUAUUAUACAGCAUGUCAUGAAUUUGCAAAACUUACCAAACGUUAAGAAUUUGCAGAACGUAUAAUAUGUUACAAAUUC
This 4536-nucleotide long non-coding RNA is filed under the name Salmo salar (Atlantic salmon). RNAcentral describes it as "lncRNA (ENSSSAG00000083045.1, ENSSSAG00000105311.1)". The record is from RNAcentral. Lineage: Eukaryota; Metazoa; Chordata; Actinopteri; Salmoniformes; Salmonidae.